CCUACGGGAGGCAGCAGUGGGGAAUAUUGCACAAUGGGGGAAACCCUGAUGCAGCGACGCCGCGUGAGUGAAGAAGUAUCUCGGUAUGUAAAGCUCUAUUAGCAGGGAAGAAAAUGACGGUACUUGAUUAAGAAGCCCCGGCGAACUACGUCCCAGCAGCCGCGGUAAUACGAAGGGGGCAAGCGUUAUCCGGCGUUACUGGGUGUAAAGGGAGCGUAGACGGCAGCACAAGUCUGGAGUGAAAGGCAGGGGCUUAACCCCGGAACUGCUUUUGAAAAUGUGCAGCUAGAGUGCAGGAGAGGUAAGUGGAAUUCCUAGGGUAGCGGUGAAAGGCGUAGAUAUUAGGAGGAACACCAGUGGCGAAGGCGGCUUACUGGACUGUAACUGACGUUGAGGCUCGAAAGCGUGGGGAGCAAACAGGAUUAGAUACCCUUGUAGUC
RNAcentral lists this ribosomal RNA (440 nucleotides) under uncultured bacterium. RNAcentral describes it as "partial 16S ribosomal RNA". It matches the Rfam family "Bacterial small subunit ribosomal RNA", at positions 338 to 795 of the family's 1533-position model. The record is from RNAcentral.